This 1481-nucleotide ribosomal RNA is filed under the name metagenome. RNAcentral's name for it is "bacterial SSU rRNA". It matches the Rfam family "Bacterial small subunit ribosomal RNA". The record is from RNAcentral.
AGAGUUUGAUCCUGGCUCAGAACGAACGUUAGCGGCGCGCUUAACACAUGCAAGUCGAACGAGAAAGUACCUUCGGGUACGAGUACAGUGGCGCACGGGUGAGUAACACGUGGGUAAUCUAUCCUUUUGGUGGGGGACAACAUCCUGAAAGGGGUGCUAAUACCGCAUAAGUCCACUUCGGUGGGGAAAGGUGGCUUUGGCUAUCGCCAGAGGAUGAGCCCGCGGCCCAUCAGCUUGUUGGUAGGGUAAUGGCCUACCAAGGCAUCGACGGGUAGCUGGUCUGAGAGGAUGAUCAGUCACACUGGAACUGAGACACGGUCCAGACUCCUACGGGAGGCAGCAGUGGGGAAUAUUGCGCAAUGGGCGAAAGCCUGACGCAGCGACGCCGCGUGGGUGAUGAAGGUUUUCGGAUCGUAAAGCCCUGUGGGAGAGGGAAGAACAACUAGUAGGAACAAUACCCUAUUAGCCUGACGGUACCUUUCCAGAAAGCACCGGCUAACUCCGUGCCAGCAGCCGCGGUAAUACGGAGGGUGCAAGCGUUAUCCGGAUUUAUUGGGUUUAAAGGGUGCGCAGGCGGACUAUUAAGUCAGUGGUGAAAUCCCGGGGCUCAACCUCGGAACUGCCAUUGAUACUGAUAGUCUUGAGUUUGGUUGAAGUAGGCGGAAUGUAGCAUGUAGCGGUGAAAUGCAUAGAUAUGCUACAGAACACCAAUCGCGAAGGCAGCUUACUAAGCCAAAACUGACGCUCAUGCACGAAAGCGUGGGGAGCAAACAGGAUUAGAUACCCUGGUAGUCCACGCCGUAAACGAUGAUCACUCGUUGUUGGCGAUACACAGUCAGCGACCAAGGGAAACCGAUAAGUGAUCCACCUGGGGAGUACGAUCGCAAGGUUGAAACUCAAAGGAAUUGACGGGGGCCCGCACAAGCGGUGGAGCAUGUGGUUUAAUUCGAUGAUACGCGAGGAACCUUACCUGGGCUCAAAUGUAAGUUGACAUGACCUGAAAGGGUUUUUUCUUCGGACAAUUUACAAGGUGCUGCAUGGUUGUCGUCAGCUCGUGCCGUGAGGUGUCGGGUUAAGUCCCAUAACGAGCGCAACCCCUACUCUUAGUUGCCAGCAUGUAAUGAUGGGGACUCUAGGAGAACUGCCUACGCAAGUAGAGAGGAAGGUGGGGAUGACGUCAAAUCAGCACGGCCCUUACGUCCAGGGCUACACACGUGCUACAAUGGCCGGUACAGAGGGCAGCCACCUGGUGACAGGGAGCGAAUCUCGAAAGCCGGUCUCAGUUCGGAUCGAAGUCUGCAACCCGACUUCGUGAAGCUGGAAUCGCUAGUAAUCGCGCAUCAGCCAUGGCGCGGUGAAUACGUUCCCGGGCCUUGUACACACCGCCCGUCAAGCCAUGGAAGCUGGGGUACCUGAAGUCGGUUACCGUAAGGAUCCGCCUAGGGUAAAACUAGUAACUGGGGCUAAGUCGAAACAAGGUA